Molecule: long non-coding RNA, 243 nt
Filed under: Suricata suricatta (meerkat)
Lineage: Eukaryota; Metazoa; Chordata; Mammalia; Carnivora; Herpestidae
Description: lncRNA (ENSSSUG00005000650.1)
Source: RNAcentral
UGCCUGGUGGCUUGAAGGUCCAACUUCCUGGAAGAGCCCACUUGGUCACCUGAGGGAACAGUGGCAUUGGAACAGCAAUGGCAACUCAAAUAGCCAAGCAAGGUGGCACAGUUCGCCUGGAUUGUUGAGAUCAAGACCAGGCAGAAGGUGCCAAAGGGAAGGAGCCCAUGUCGGUGAGACACAUCGAGGGUGACUCGGGCACCAGGCCAAGCUAUGAACUGACCCAGUGGCUUUCCAAUAAAG